Long non-coding RNA from Balaenoptera musculus (blue whale), 96 nucleotides. RefSeq lists it as uncharacterized. Lineage: Eukaryota; Metazoa; Chordata; Mammalia; Artiodactyla; Balaenopteridae. The record is from RefSeq and is a predicted model, not a curated record. The transcript is spliced from 5 exons.
UAUUUCAAACUUUUUCAUUAUUAUUAUAUUUAUUAUGGUGACCUGUGAUUAGUAAUCUUUGAUAUUACUCCUAUAAAAAGGUUUCAUCUCACUGAA